Molecule: ribosomal RNA, 467 nt
Filed under: uncultured bacterium
Lineage: Bacteria
Description: partial 16S ribosomal RNA
Rfam family: Bacterial small subunit ribosomal RNA
Source: RNAcentral
GACGAACGCUGGCGGCGUGCUUAACACAUGCAAGUCGAACGGCAAGGCCCUGCUUUUGUGGGGUGCUCGAGUGGCGAACGUGUGAGUAACACGUGAGUAACCUGCCCUUGACUUUGGGAUAACUUCAGGAAACUGGGGCUAAUACCGGAUAGGAGCUCCUGCUGCAUGGUGGGGGUUGGAAAGUUUCGGCGGUUGGGGAUGGACUCGCGGCUUAUCAGCUUGUUGGUGGGGUAGUGGCUUACCAAGUCUUUGACGGGUAGCCGGGCUGAGAGGGUGACCGGGUACAGUUGGACUUAGAUACGGCCCAGACUCCUACGGGAGGCAGGAGUGGGGAUAAAUGCACAGGGGGCAAGAGCCGGAUGCAGCAACGCCGCGUGCGGGAAGACGGCCGUCGGGGUGUAAACCGCUUUCGCCUGUGACGAAGCGUGAGUGACGGUAAUGGGUGAAGAAGCACCGGCUAACUACGU